ACGAACGCUGGCGGCGUGCUUAACACAUGCAAGUCGAACGGAAAGGCCCUGCUUUUGUGGGGUGCUCGGGUGGCGAACGGGUGAGUAACACGUGAGUAACCUGCCCUUGACUUUGGGAUAACUUCAGGAAACUGGGGCUAAUACCGGAUAGGAGCUCCUGCUGCAUGGUGGGGGGUGGAAAGUUUCGGCGGUUGGGGAUGGACUUGCGGCUUAUCAGCUUGUUGGUGGGGUAGUGGCUUACCAAGGCUUUGACGGGUAGCCGGCCUGAGAGGGUGACCGGCCACAUUGGGACUGAGAUACGGCCCAGACUCCUACGGGAGGCAGCAGUGGGGAAUAUUGCACAAUGGGCGGAAGCCUGAUGCAGCAACGCCGCGUGCGGGAUGACGGCCUUCGGGUUGUAAACCGCUUUCGCCUGUGACGAAGCGUGAGUGACGGUAAUGGGUAAAGAAGCACCGGCUAACUACGUG
RNAcentral lists this ribosomal RNA (467 nucleotides) under uncultured bacterium. Its description in RNAcentral is "partial 16S ribosomal RNA". It matches the Rfam family "Bacterial small subunit ribosomal RNA", at positions 29 to 507 of the family's 1533-position model. The record is from RNAcentral.